This is a long non-coding RNA of Pipistrellus kuhlii (Kuhl's pipistrelle), 149 nucleotides long. RefSeq lists it as uncharacterized. The record is from RefSeq and is a predicted model, not a curated record. Lineage: Eukaryota; Metazoa; Chordata; Mammalia; Chiroptera; Vespertilionidae. The transcript is spliced from 2 exons.
CCUCACAAAACUUUAAAAGCCUAGACAGAAGAAGAGAGAAAUUUAUCAAUGAUAGCAUCAGUUUUUAGGUUCUGUAUUUCUCUGUAAAUGCCAAUUUUACAAUAUUUCCUUCAUUUUACCUAAAGAGUCAGGCCUAAGCUUCAAACUAU